CCUACGGGAGGCAGCAGUAGGGAAUAUUGCUCAAUGGGGGAAACCCUGAAGCAGCAACGCCGCGUGGAGGAUGAAGGUGUUAGGAUUGUAAACUCCGUUUGGGAGAGAAGAGAAUGACGGUAGCUCACGAAUAAGCACCGGCGAACGCCGUGCCAGCAGCCGCGGUAAUACGGAGGGUGCAAGCGUUACUCGGAAUCACUGGGCGUAAAGAGUGCGCAGGCGGGCUUGUAAGUCAGAUGUGAAAUCCUGUAGCUGAACUACAGAACUGCAUUUGAAACUAUGAGUCUAGAGUGUGGGAGAGGUAGGUGGAUUUCUUGGUGUAGGGGUCCACUCCGUAUAUAUCACGCGGACUACUCAUUGCGACGGCGCCCUCCUGGACCAUUCCUGCCGCUCAUGCACGCUAGCGUGGGGAGCAAACCGGAUUAGAUACCCUAGUAGUC
This 440-nucleotide ribosomal RNA is filed under the name uncultured bacterium. Its description in RNAcentral is "partial 16S ribosomal RNA". It matches the Rfam family "Bacterial small subunit ribosomal RNA", at positions 338 to 795 of the family's 1533-position model. The record is from RNAcentral.